AUGAAGACCCAAAAUGGACAAGUUCUGAAAAAAGACAAGGAGGCCAUUGCUAGCCUACUCGAUACAACCGUAAGAACUGUUGAGAGAAUAUGGGAAAGAGCUCUUAAACAGAUUGAACAAGGGGAGACAGUUGAUGUCUCAAAUCAAAAGCCAGGUAGAGUUGGUCGCAAGCGGAAAGAUUUGGAUCUGUCAAGGGUGGUGACAAUCCCAUUGAAUAGAAUGAGAACAUUGCGAGGUCUGCCAAAGGCAUUGGGUGUAAGCUACACGACCUUACACUCAAGGUUCGAGUGGGGUCAUUUGAGGCGUCACAGUAAUAAGGUGAGGCCCCACUUAAACCUAUCCAACAUUGUAAAGAGAUUGAAAUGGUGCUUGGCUAUGUGUGAAGAUUAUUGGUCUGCGAUACGGGAAUUAGACAACAUAGCCUACAUGGACGAAAAGUGGUUCAACAUGACUGGGGAGGUGAACAACUACUAUUUGCUUCCCGAAGAACCCGACCCCUUGUGCACCUUGCAUCAUAAGGAUAGCAUCGCCAAGGUGAUGUUUCUCGCCGCCGUGGCUAAACCAAGAUACGACGAAGGUGGUUAG
RNAcentral lists this ribosomal RNA (585 nucleotides) under Triticum aestivum (bread wheat). RNAcentral's name for it is "partial small subunit ribosomal RNA". The record is from RNAcentral. Lineage: Eukaryota; Viridiplantae; Streptophyta; Magnoliopsida; Poales; Poaceae.